Long non-coding RNA from Equus caballus (horse), 3155 nucleotides. The record is from Ensembl. NCBI's taxonomy places the organism in Eukaryota, Metazoa, Chordata, Mammalia, Perissodactyla, Equidae.
GGAAGAUUAACCCUGAGCUAACAUCUGCCACCAAUCCUCCUCUUUUUGCUGAGGAAGAUUGGCCAUGUGCUAACAUCUGUACCCAUCCUCCUCUACUUUAUAUGUGGGACACCUGCCACAGCAUGGCUUGGUAAUCGGUGUGUAGGUCCACACCUGGGAUCCGAACCAACAAACCCAAGGUCACUGAAGCAGAGCGUGCGAAUUUAACUGCUACUCCACCAGACUGGCCCCCCAAAAUAUAUUUUUUUUAGACUUUAGGAAAUCUAUUUCUGUAAUUGAUAAGAAAAACAGUGAAACCUUUAAAGCCCUCAAAGGUCAUGUAGAUGCAGUUACUUUUGUAAGCAUCCUUUGUUGAAAGAGGCCCAGAAGAAGUUGAGAAGAUGGAGAGAUGCAGCAAGGUGGGAGUGCAGAGAGUGUGGAGAAGGUGAAUUAAGCAGGGAUGAUAAAAACCAAAUAACUACAAAAGCCUUCUGUAAGAGAGGCAUCCGAAUUGACAGGUGCCAUUACCAUAAGCAUUAAAAUUUUGGAAUGAAGCAAAGAAAAACGGGAAGAUGGGUUUGACAAAGUGAGAAAGGAUAUCUCACGGUGAAUGUCACUCAUCUGACCUUGGCUUAGCUUCUUUUUUUUUUAUUGCAGUAACAUUGGAUUAUAACAUUACAUAACUUUCAGGUGUACAUCGUAAUAUAUUUCAAAUUCUGUGUAGAUUACAUCAUGUUCACCACCCAAAGACUAAUUACAAUCCAUCACCACACACAUGCCUAGUCAUGCCUUUUGCCCUUUCCUUUCCUCCCUUCCCCUAUAGUAAACACCAAUCCAAUCUGUUGCUAUGUGUUUGUUUGUCGUUGUUUUUAAUCUUCUACUUAUGAGUGAGAUCAUAUGGUUUUUUACUUUCUCCCUCUGACUUAGUUCACUUAGCAUAACACCCUCAAGGUCCAUCCAUGUUGUCACAAAUGGCUGGAUUUCAUCACUUCUUAUGGCUGAGUAGUAAUCCUUUAUGUAUAUAUACCUCAUCUUCUCUAUCCAUUCGUCCCUUGAUGGGCACCUAGGUUGCUUCCAAGUUUGACUAUUGUGAAUAAUGCUACAGUAAACAUAGAAGUGCGUGUAUCUUUAUGCCUUUAUGUUUUCAAGUUCUUUGGAUAAAUACCCAGCAGUGGAAUAGCUGGAUCAUAUGGUAGAUCUAUUCUUAAUUUUCUGAGGAUACUCCGUACUGCUUUCCAUAGUGAUUGCAGCAGUUUGCACUCCCACCAGCAGUGUACCAGGGUUCCCUUCUGUCCACAUCCUCUUCAACACUUGUUUCCCGUCUUGUUAAUCAUAGCCAUUCUAACUGGAGUGAGGUGAUAUCUCAUUGUAGUUUUGAUUUGCAUUCCCCUGAUAGCUAAUGAAGUUGAACAUCUUUUCAUGUGCCCUUUGGCCAUCCGUAUAUCUUCUUUGGAGAAAUCUCUGUUCAGAUCUUUUGCUCAUUUUUAAUUGGGUUGUUGGUUUUUUGUUGUUGAGACAUAUGAGUUCUUUGUAUAUUUUCGAUAUUAACCCCUUAUCUGAUGUAUGGUUUGCAAAUGUCUUCUUCCAAGUGUUAGGUUGUCUUUUUGUUUUGUUGAUGGUUUCUUGGCUUAGCUUCUUAAUGUAUUUAUUAUUGCUGAUGCCUCUACUUGGGUAGGAGAACUUGGUUGAAAGGACAGCUGUGUUGAAAGGACAGAUCCGUUACUCAGGAGAGAAAACUGCUUACAUAGCCACCUCAGUGCAUCCUUCGUGAUCCAUCAUUCUUCAGCAAACCAAGGUCAAUUAAUAAAUGGUUCAUCCAGGCUAAUUGUGCAAUGAGUGAACCAGACAAGGAUGUGAUGGUUAUUUCCCUGCCCCACCCCUCCAGGGGGCUGCCCCUGACUUAGCCAGAUGCUCACUCAGAACUUUUGGCUGUUCAUAAUGAGACUCCAAGAAUUUGGAAUGGUUCCAGAUGGGUCACAGGUGUCUGCAGAAGGUUGACUACACUGAAGGGGAUAUCAAGCCUCCGACUGGCCAUCAGUUUUCUGCUGGAUGCUGUGGCAGACAAUAUGGUGGGAACCACAGUGGCUGUAUUGCAACCACGAGAAGAACCUGAAGAUGGAAGCCCCUGUUAAGGAAGUGGAGCAGAAAGAUUGGGCCGCAGUAGACCAGGGCAUCAAGAAUAUUUUUAGAGAUGAGAGAUACCAGAGUAUGUUUGCAUAUUGGGAUGAGCCAUUAAGAAGAAGAGAUUGACGAGGAAGAGCCAGGGGGAUCACGACAGGACUGCAGCCCUGGAGAAGCUAAGUAUGGAGAAAUCCUGGGUGUCUGUUGACAAACUGGCCUUUGAUAGGCUGCUGCAGAUGGUUUAGGACACUUGCCAAUGCCCUUUUCUGAGGAAAAUUCCUCCAACAGCUCUGACAUUUCAUUGCCCUUUUCAUCCCUUUGUCCUUUUCUCCAUGGACUGGAGUCUCCUGUCUCUUCCUUCCCAAAUUCAUUCCCUGCACGGCUGCCAGAGUGAGCAUUCCAAAAUGCAAAUCUGAUUUUAAAAGACCGAGUAGCUCCAGUCACCCAAGGGAUGAAGCUACACUCAAUUGCCUUGCAUUCAAGAUGUUCUCUUUCUGGCCUCUCUUUCCAGCUUCCUAUCUUCAACAUUUCAUCAAGCAUUCUGCACACUCACCAUGCCUGGCUAUUGGCAUUUCCCUAAUGGAGCUCUAUCUUUCUUACCUCUAUGCUUUUCUUCCUGCUUCUCCCUUUUCUGAAAUCCUCCUACCUUUCUCUUUCACUAGUAGACUUUCAAGGCACAGCUCAAAUGCUAUGCUUUCUUGAUGCCUCCAGUGAAAAUUAAUUUUCUUUCCUCUCAUUCUUACUACAGCAGCUGUCCCUCCUCCCAUAACCUUGCUCUGCUCUUCAGGCAGGUGAUUCAGCUUUUCCUGUUGGCUGCUCCCUCUGGAUUGUAAACUUGAGGCCGGGGCUGUGACUGAUUCAACUUUGUAGUCUUGCUCCUUUUCACUCAGCUCAAUAAAUAUUUGUUGAAUGAAUGAAUGAUUGCUUCCUGGACCAGGCUUCCUUGUUUACUAAGAGAAAAGCUAUGAACCUCUGCUUUGUUUGCCAGUUCAGCAUCCCUUCCCUCUGUUUCUAGUAACAGCCCUCUUUCCUUGAGAGCCUGCCCAUCUUCCAUU